RNAcentral lists this ribosomal RNA (917 nucleotides) under Lacticaseibacillus casei. RNAcentral's name for it is "bacterial SSU rRNA". It matches the Rfam family "Bacterial small subunit ribosomal RNA", at positions 55 to 943 of the family's 1533-position model. The record is from RNAcentral. Lineage: Bacteria; Bacillati; Bacillota; Bacilli; Lactobacillales; Lactobacillaceae.
AUGCAGUCGACGAGUUCUCGUUGAUGAUCGGUGCUUGCACCGAGAUUCAACAUGGAACGAGUGGCGGACGGGUGAGUAACACGUGGGUAACCUGCCCUUAAGUGGGGGAUAACAUUUGGAAACAGAUGCUAAUACCGCAUAGAUCCAAGAACCGCAUGGUUCUUGGCUGAAAGAUGGCGUAAGCUAUCGCUUUUGGAUGGACCCGCGGCGUAUUAGCUAGUUGGUGAGGUAAUGGCUCACCAAGGCGAUGAUACGUAGCCGAACUGAGAGGUUGAUCGGCCACAUUGGGACUGAGACACGGCCCAAACUCCUACGGGAGGCAGCAGUAGGGAAUCUUCCACAAUGGACGCAAGUCUGAUGGAGCAACGCCGCGUGAGUGAAGAAGGCUUUCGGGUCGUAAAACUCUGUUGUUGGAGAAGAAUGGUCGGCAGAGUAACUGUUGUCGGCGUGACGGUAUCCAACCAGAAAGCCACGGCUAACUACGUGCCAGCAGCCGCGGUAAUACGUAGGUGGCAAGCGUUAUCCGGAUUUAUUGGGCGUAAAGCGAGCGCAGGCGGUUUUUUAAGUCUGAUGUGAAAGCCCUCGGCUUAACCGAGGAAGCGCAUCGGAAACUGGGAAACUUGAGUGCAGAAGAGGACAGUGGAACUCCAUGUGUAGCGGUGAAAUGCGUAGAUAUAUGGAAGAACACCAGUGGCGAAGGCGGCUGUCUGGUCUGUAACUGACGCUGAGGCUCGAAAGCAUGGUAGCGAACAGGAUUAGAUACCCUGAUAGUCCAUGCCGUAACGAUGAAUGCUAGGUGUUGUAGGGUUUCCGCCCUUCAGUGCCGCAGCUAACGCAUUAGCAUUCCGCCUGGGGAGUACGACCGCAAGGUGAACUCAAAGGGAUUGACUGGGGCCCGCACAACCGUGAGCUGUGUU